GUAACCCCAGUUACCAAAGUAAAUCAGCAGAAAGGGGGGGGGGCUAAAAUUAUUGGUGGAGACUGUCCCCUCAAUACCCAAAGUUGGUGGGGACAUGACCACACCCCACACCAGUCCUUCAGAAAGUUACGCCAUUGUCUGGAUGCCUUCAAAAAUACAUCAUCUCAAGAUGAGUAGCCACUUUGUCUUGCACCUCUGUAUUUUGGGUUCUAUUUACUGCACAUCCCAGGCUUGAGAGAUUAAAAUGCCAAGACAUAUCAAGGGAUUGUUGGGCUCCUGCCUCACCAUCCCUUGCAGAUUUGAUUAUUAUCGGUAUCCACCUAAAAGAGCCGAUCGAGUGGUUUGGUACCAGUAUGUAAGCAGGGGAUAUCCUUUGGUCUGUGACAAAUGGUACCCAAAUGAUAUCAUACCCUUAUAUAAAGGAAGAACCAGCGUAUUAGGAAAUUGGAAAUAUUGCACCCUUAAGAUUGAAACUGUGAAAUGGAAUGACCACAGACAGAAGCUUUAUCCUUGGGUGGAUCCAGAAAAUGUUGGCAGUAGCACGUAUGCAUUCUAUGAGACAACUGUGACGAUUGAAGUAGUUGACUCACCAAAGGCACCAGAGAUUACGAUCACCGGUGAAAGAAAAGCUGGAAAUACUGUAACAGUAAAAUGUUCUGCUGAACACACAUGCUCCACCAAUCGCCCAAAUCUUUACUUGAACAUCCCACUGAGAAAUUAAUAUUUAACUCACAAUGCGAUGUCUGA
Molecule: long non-coding RNA, 747 nt
Organism: Cyprinodon tularosa
Lineage: Eukaryota; Metazoa; Chordata; Actinopteri; Cyprinodontiformes; Cyprinodontidae
Exons: 4
Source: RefSeq, a predicted model, not a curated record